Molecule: long non-coding RNA, 314 nt
Organism: Melanotaenia boesemani (Boeseman's rainbowfish)
Lineage: Eukaryota; Metazoa; Chordata; Actinopteri; Atheriniformes; Melanotaeniidae
Exons: 3
Source: RefSeq, a predicted model, not a curated record
GACCAAUGAAGGUCAACUACCAGCUAAGCGGCGAUGUGAAGCAUCAGAAGUAAUGAUACUCUCUGAAGUUAAGACACUAAUGAGAAGUGUCUACAUAAGUCUGCACAACCCAGGCAACACAAAGCUCAAUGCUUUCCUGAAGACUAAAAUCAUGGAUUUGGAGACAGAUAAGAGGGAGCUGGUUGGUGUCUUUGGCAGAACUGGAGCAGGAAAGAGUUCUUUGAUAAAUGCUGUCAUUGGGGAGAAGAAACUUUUGCCCACUGGAAGUAUCAGUGCAUGCACCUCAGUCAUGAUUAAAGUAGAGGCUAACAGGC